Molecule: ribosomal RNA, 253 nt
Filed under: uncultured bacterium
Lineage: Bacteria
Description: partial 16S ribosomal RNA
Rfam family: Bacterial small subunit ribosomal RNA
Source: RNAcentral
UACGAAGGGGGCUAGCGUUGUUCGGAAUUACUGGGCGUAAGGCGCACGUAGGCGGAUAUUUAAGUCAGGGGUGAAAUCCCAGAGCUCAACUCUGGAACUGCCUUUGAUACUGGGUAUCUUGAGUAUGGAAGAGGUAAGUGGAAUUGCGAGUGUAGAGGUGAAAUUCGUAGAUAUUCGCAGGAACACCAGUGGCGAAGGCGGCUUACUGGUCCAUUACUGACGCUGAGGUGCGAAAGCGUGGGGAGCAAACAGG